GGGUUAGGGGAUUAUCUGUCCUACCUAUCUGGGUAUAUUGCUGGGGACUCCUUAUAAUUCUGAUGCGGUUUGCGAUGAGGUUGUGAAAAGAUAUAUAAAGGAUUUGCUAAGUGGAAGAGGCAGUAUCUAUCUAAAGGAGGCAGAUUUCCUGAGUGGAAAAGUUGCAGAAGGAUAUUUUGUGGGGUGGAUUGAUAGAGAAGCAAAAAAAUUCAUUUGCUUAGAUGGGGUAUGUUUUGCUCCCUGAAAAGAGAAUCAAGUUUAGGAGUUAGAAGAGUAGAAAAAUGGCUGUAGCAUUAUGUGAUGGAGAGACUGACAUGUAUAUAUAUGGAGUGGGAUGGUUUGUGGAGAAGGUGUGUUGGUGAAGUAUGAAGAAAUGUCAGGUUUGGUGCUCAGGGAAUGUGAAGGGGUUAGUAUAAGUUGAAAAAAUUGCAACAUUUUUGACCAUAUACAAACUAUUCAUCAAUGGAAUACAAUAUAAUAGAACAUCAAAAUAGCAUACAAUGUAUACUUAUAUAAAUACAACUUAUUUUAGCAUAAGAUGUCUAAUACAAUCUGUUCAAUAGCACAUUAUGUUGCUAAGGGAUUUGAGACUAUCAUUCUUAUCUUCACUUGGGUGAAUAUUGUUAGACAUUGCAGUAGGCUGUGAACAACUGUGAGACCAUGAAGUGAAGAAGAUAAAUAAAUAGUAGCAGUUCUUAUCUAUUAUGAAAAAAAGAGAUCACUAAAUAGGAGUGAUAUGUUGAGAUCUAGGGAUGCCCAAUGUUAUUGAAGCUGCUGUUAGCAUUUUUCUUGAUUCGAUGUGAGAGAAAAGCAGCUGAUUGGGAGAAACUGAAUGGCAGAUCUGCUUGCUGCUAUAUGAAGUUGAUUUCUCGUUGAUAUGUUUGAUUUUGAUUUUUUUUUUGGUCCUUAAUUUUACUUGAUAUUUGAAGUCAACCUUGAAAAAUAAAGAACAUAAAGUUCUUGAUACCUCAACGAGAAAUCUCAAGAUCUUGCUUAUCUCAAUUGAGAAAUGUACCUUUGCAACUGUUAGCUUCAAGUCCUGCUUUCUGAUUAUGUAUUAAAACAAUGCUGACAAGCAUUUUAUUUCACUUUGUUGCUGCAGGGACCUGAGAUUCGAACUGGUUUUCUAAAGGAUGCAAAGCCUAUCCAACUUAAGGAAGGUGAGGAAAUCACCAUUAGUACUGAUUACAGCAUCAAGGGGGAUGAGAAGAUGAUCUCCAUGAGCUACAAAAAACUGCCUGUGGACUUGAAGCCUGGAAACACCAUCCUGUGUGCAGAUGGCACCAUCACUCUCACUGUCUUGUCUUGUGAUCUGGGUGCUGGAACGGUAAGAUGCCGUUGCGAGAACACUGCAACUCUAGGUGAGAGAAAGAAUGUCAAUCUUCCUGGUGUGGUGGUGGAUCUUCCCACACUAACAGAGAAGGACAAGGAAGACAUUCUGGGAUGGGGUGUUCCCAACAAUAUUGACAUGAUUGCCCUUUCAUUUGUACGCAAGGGCUCAGAUCUUGUUAAUGUCCGAAAGGUGCUCGGGUCUCAUGCCAAGCGUAUACAGUUAAUGUCAAAGGUACAUGAAUAUCUUCCAUUGUUCUGUUGUUUACAAAAUAAUUAGUGGAAAUUUUUUCUCUAAUGCAUGUGCAAAAAUGUUCCUUUUUCACAUUACAUUCAUGAGAGUCGGGGGGAAUUUAUCAUUUACAUGAGCUAUAAAAACAGUCAAUUACCUAAUGAAAUUUAUCUUUGCCUCUUGCCUCAAGGGAGGUCCUUCAAUCCAAUGAUUAGGAUCAUUCUUUGAGUUGUUUAUUUUGUUUUUUGAGUGUAAGUUUGGACAGUUAAUCCAUAAAACUUGCCUUUUCAAUUCCCAAAAACGAUUGCCAUUUUAGGAAAAGUAGCAGCAUGGCAAGGAAAUUAAAAAAAAAGAAAAAAAAAAGCUUUCUUCUACUUCUGAAAGAAAUAACUUUUGGCUUAAAUGGCAGCUUAUUUCAUGUGUUGCUUGUAGAUGAGUGUAUGUGAGAAUGAGCCCCAUGCACACUCAGCUUAUUUCAUGGUUGGUUGUGCAAUUUGCUUACAUGUUUCUUUGAUAAAUAUGUCAUAGCCUCAUGGCAUCUUCCUUUCUGUGGCUGUAAUUCCUGAAGGUGGAGAACCAGGAGGGUGUUAUCAACUUUGAUGAAAUACUGCGUGAGACCGAUUCAUUUAUGGUUGCCCGUGGUGAUCUUGGAAUGGAGAUCCCAGUGGAGAAGAUCUUCCUGGCACAAAAAAUGAUGAUAUACAAGUGCAAUCUUGUAGGAAAGCCUGUGGUCACUGCUACUCAGAUGCUUGAAUCCAUGAUCAAGUCUCCCCGUCCAACCCGUGCUGAAGCAACGGAUGUAGCUAAUGCAGUUCUUGAUGGGACUGACUGUGUGAUGCUGAGUGGAGAGAGUGCAGCAGGAGCCUAUCCAGAGAUUGCUGUGAAGAUCAUGGCCCGAAUCUGUAUCGAGGCAGAAUCCUCACUGGACUAUGCAGCUAUCUUCAAGGAGAUGAUUCGGUCAACCCCACUUCCAAUGAGCCCAUUGGAGAGCCUUGCAUCAUCAGCUGUUGGAACCGCCAACAAGGCCAAAGCAAAACUGAUUGUCGUGAUGACGCGUGGUGGGACCACAGCCAAGUUGGUGGCCAAGUACAGGCCAGCCGUCCCCAUCCUCUCAGUGGUCGUCCCACUCUUAACAACAGAUUCCUUCGACUGGACCUGCAGCGAUGAGGCCCCAGCAAGGCAUAGCCUGAUAUACAGGGGCUUGAUCCCGAUACUGGCAGAAGGGUCUGCAAAGGCGACAGAUGCGGAAUCCACGGAGGUGAUCCUGGAAGCUGCCCUGAAGUCGGCAACAGGGAAGGGGCUCUGCAAGCCUGGAGAUGCAGUUGUGGUACUUCACCGCAUUGGGGUUGCCUCUGUUAUCAAGAUCUGCAUAGUGAAAUGAUGAACAAACGCUAGGGAAUACCACGAGUGGUGGCCUGAUGGAUUCAGAAGGGCAUUUGGACCAAGUUGAAGCUAUCUUGUUUUUGGUUUCUUAGUCAUACGUACUCAGCUAGUUUUCAUUG
RNAcentral lists this long non-coding RNA (3063 nucleotides) under Vitis vinifera (wine grape). Its description in RNAcentral is "long non-coding RNA (VVIN_LNC002333)". Lineage: Eukaryota; Viridiplantae; Streptophyta; Magnoliopsida; Vitales; Vitaceae. The record is from RNAcentral.